RNAcentral lists this ribosomal RNA (491 nucleotides) under uncultured bacterium. RNAcentral describes it as "partial 16S ribosomal RNA". It matches the Rfam family "Bacterial small subunit ribosomal RNA", at positions 29 to 507 of the family's 1533-position model. The record is from RNAcentral.
GUGAACGCUGGCGGUAGGCCUAACACAUGCAAGUCGAACGGCAGCACAGUAAGAGCUUGCUCUUACGGGUGGCGAGUGGCGGACGGGUGAGGAAUACAUCGGAAUCUACUUUUUCGUGGGGGAUAACGUAGGGAAACUUACGCUAAUACCGCAAACGACCUACGGGUGAAAGCAGGGGAUCUUCGGACCUUGCGCGAUUGAAUGAGCCGAUGUCGGAUUAGCUAGUUGGCGGGGUAAAGGCCCACCAAGGCGACGAUCCGUAGCUGGUCUGAGAGGAUGAUCAGCCACACUGGAACUGAGACACGGUCCAGACUCCUACGGGAGGCAGCAGUGGGGAAUAUUGGACAAUGGGCGCAAGCCUGAUCCAGCCAUACCGCGUGGGUGAAGAAGGCCUUCGGGUUGUAAAGCCCUUUUGUUGGGAAAGAAAAGCAGCAGGUUAAUACCCCGCUGUUCUGACGGUACCCAAAGAAUAAGCACCGGCUAACUUCGUG